AUACGGAGGGGACAAGCGUUAUUCGGAAUCACUGGGCGUAAAGGACGCGUAGGCGGGUUAUUAAGUCGGGUGUGAAAUCCAAUGGCUCAACCAUUGAACUGCAUUCGAAACUGAUAACCUAGAGUAUGGAAGGGGCAGGUGGAAUUAGUGGUGUAGGGGUAAAAUCCGUAGAUAUCACUAGGAAUACCGAAAGCGAAGGCGACCUGCUGGGACAUUACUGACGCUGAGGCGUGAAAGCGUGCGGAGCAAACAGGAUUAGAAACCCCAGUAGUCC
This 274-nucleotide ribosomal RNA is filed under the name uncultured bacterium. RNAcentral's name for it is "partial 16S ribosomal RNA". It matches the Rfam family "Bacterial small subunit ribosomal RNA", at positions 523 to 796 of the family's 1533-position model. The record is from RNAcentral.